UGANAUAUAUAUAUAUAUAUAUAUAUAUAUAUAUAGUUAAAUUAAUAUUAAUUUGUCAAGUUAAAGAUAAGGAAUUCCACAA
This 82-nucleotide transfer RNA is filed under the name Tetragnatha puella. Its description in RNAcentral is "tRNA-Asp". The record is from RNAcentral. Lineage: Eukaryota; Metazoa; Arthropoda; Arachnida; Araneae; Tetragnathidae.